CUUCUCAUUGCCUUCCUCUUGUGGACUCUGAAGCGACGACAGACCCAACGGCUUACAGUUUCCUCAAGAGGAGAGGUCUUGAUACAUCAAGUUCAGUACCAAGAGAUGGAUUCGAAGACGGAUGAUCUGGACUUGCUGAAAUCCUCGGGUCAGUGAACUGUAUAAAAAUCUAAACCUUGGAAUUUUAACAAGUGCCUGCAAUUGACUCUGAGCAUUCUACUUCGAUUAAUAGUUGAGAAAGUUCUGGAACUCUGUAAUGGGAAGUUUGUGGUGCACAGGAAGAAAAAAAAAGGAGGGGCGGGAUAAAUGUCUCACAGCGAAAACAUCAAGAAAGGCAGCUGUGAGCUGAAAAUUAUUCUUAGAGAACGCUUUGCAGCCACAAAGAAGUCUAUGUAGCCUAAGAGGCUGAUCACUGAAAGGGGUGCACCAACCCAACCACAUACUAUGGCUUGGACCUCGUUUUGCUGAAACAGAAAUCGAUUUUCUAAAAGACUGUUAUGAUGACUGUUUAAAUUUUCUUUUCCUUCUCUUCUUAAAAAUGAUUUGGCUGUGUAAAAUUGAGGUCUGCAACAUGUUACAGAGAACACAGAGGCGCUAUAAACAUUACUAAACUAAAGCAUGGGAGCAUUUCCAUAGUCUCACAGGAAUCCUGCACGCAGCACAAUGUUAUCACUACUGCGCAUGUGCUGCACAAAAGUGCGGCCAUCCAGUCGCCUGUGCUCACCUUCUUCUUUGCAUCCUCCCACCUGUGCCUUUUCCUUCAGAAGUCCACUCCCAGUCGCUAUCCUUGAAUUUUAUUUUUAUUAUAUUUUUUCUAUAAGUCUAAAAGGUCAAGCUUCCUAUACUCCAUCUAAUAAGACACCAUAGAGCAUUGCCCCCCAGGACCAGCCUUAGCUUUCAUUCUAGAAGAAAUGGCCUAGUACUCAUUGUCCUCACUCCUCAGGAACCUUCUGAGAGGGACUUGCCUUGGUUCUUCAGUCUGUUGCUGCUGCUACGUCAGAUGUGUAUUUAAGGAAUGGUGCUGGGCUUCUCAGCUCCCACCUUUUGGCUGCCAAUUGGCGCCAGAUUUUAUAGGUUUAAAGAGCUUCUCAGACACUUGAGGCCAGGGCUGGCAUAUAUUCCCAGUAAUUACCUUCUUCCUUCCAGAAAAUUCCAAUGAUUCGUAUGAUUUUAAUGCUGAUGGACUAACAUCUUUGUCUAAAUAUCUUCCUAUUUCUGGAAUAAAAAGGGGGCCGAUAAUUCAUAACCCACUGAGGUGAGUGAGAAUUUACUCAUCAUGAUUCAAAACAGGCACCCUCCUCUUAAGAUAGGCAACCCCUUAUAUUAGAAAGAAAAGAAUGCAUAUACAUGUAUGUUUCCAGAUGGAUGUACAUAUUUAUAAAUAUGUAUCUGUGUUCAAAUAUAGAUCAACUAUUUGUA
RNAcentral lists this long non-coding RNA (1419 nucleotides) under Rattus norvegicus (Norway rat). RNAcentral's name for it is "long non-coding RNA NONRATT020886". Lineage: Eukaryota; Metazoa; Chordata; Mammalia; Rodentia; Muridae. The record is from RNAcentral.